GCUCUCCAGAAAGUAUUGAUCUCUGUUUACCCUUUCAGGUGACCAUUUCAGCCCAAUCUGGGCAUAUUUUACAAGCACCGUAUGAUACCGUUCAGGUUUAUGUGGCUGUUCAGUGUCCUUUUCAGCAGCUGUGACCCCAGAUCAGCUGAAAAGGAUUUUGAAAGAGAGAUAAAGGGCUCACCUCCCACAGUGGUUCCCCUGCAGAGGCACUACAGAUAGGAGGUUGAUCUCAACAAUCCUUUUUGCCUGUGAAUUUUUGCUUGUCUCUUCUCAAUCAGAGCUUAGCUGGAGGGGUGGUGGAAAAUUCCUCUGGAUUUCUAGAGAUGGAAAACUAUUGACUGCUGGGGACUGGCAGGAGAAGAGUAACAAGCAUCUGGGCAUGGAGAUGAAGACUCCUCUUGACAGCUCUGUUCCUCAGGUAGAACAGGCCUUUCUAUCAAAGCUCAUGUGUAUGUGAGACGUCUUUCUUGGAUGCUGCUUAGAACCUGAAAAAUCAACUCUCAGAGGGAAUUAGAGUCUUAAAAGCCAUGCCUUUUCCUGUUAUAUGUGCCUUUUGUUAGUAUUGCCUUGUCUUGUGUAGAGCUGCAGCUGUGCAUACACUCAGAACCAUGCAAAAUAAAAAUGAGACUGGACGACAAGUGUGGCUUUGCCCCCUGCACAGAGCAGUAGGGACCAAAUGUAUCAGACAUAACAGCAUCUAGUCUCCACGCUCCAUGAAGUUCUUCAGAAAUGACUGAAUAUGUUAUUCCUUGUCUUGUGCAGAUCCUGGCUACCUUCAAACUUUCACUGAAGCAAUUUGUUUUCAGUUCAGAAGGGACACGAGUCUCUGUGCAAUUCACCCAUUUUCCUCUUGGCUUAGGUGAAGCGAAAGAAGGACCCAUAACAAUUUUUGGUACUGGGAUCAGGACUUGAUUUCAAUCAGGGAUGUGAUUUAUUACCUCUAUCACUCCUACAUUAAGCUGUGU
Molecule: long non-coding RNA, 965 nt
Organism: Neopsephotus bourkii (Bourke's parrot)
Lineage: Eukaryota; Metazoa; Chordata; Aves; Psittaciformes; Psittacidae
Exons: 3
Source: RefSeq, a predicted model, not a curated record